RNAcentral lists this ribosomal RNA (494 nucleotides) under uncultured bacterium. RNAcentral describes it as "partial 16S ribosomal RNA". It matches the Rfam family "Bacterial small subunit ribosomal RNA", at positions 28 to 507 of the family's 1533-position model. The record is from RNAcentral.
GACGAACGCUGGCGGCGUGCUUAACACAUGCAAGUCGAACGGUGAAGCGCCUUCCUUUUUGGUGGGUGUGGAUGAGUGGCGAACGGGUGAGUAACACGUGAGUAACCUGCCCCCUUCUUCUGGAUAACCGCAUGAAAGUGUGGAUAAUACGGGAUAUUCUGGGUCUGUCGCAUGAUGGGUAUGGGACAGAUAUUGUUUCGGUGGGGGAUGGGCUCGCGGCCUAUCAGCUUGUUGGUGGGGUGAUGGCCUACGAAGGCGGGGACGGGUAGCCGGGCUGAGAGGGUGGACGGUCUCACUGGGACUGAGACACGGCCGAGACUCCGACGCGAGGCAGCCGUGUGGGGGAGUGCACAGUGGGGGCAAGUGUGAUGCAGCGGGGCGGCGUGAGGGAUGGAGGCGUGCGCGUUGUGAACCUCUUUGGCUUGUGAAGCGGUUUUGCCUGGUUUGUGGGGGGGGUGACGGUAGCGGGAAAAGAAGCGCCGGCUAACUACGUG